RNAcentral lists this ribosomal RNA (497 nucleotides) under uncultured bacterium. RNAcentral describes it as "partial 16S ribosomal RNA". It matches the Rfam family "Bacterial small subunit ribosomal RNA", at positions 28 to 507 of the family's 1533-position model. The record is from RNAcentral.
GAUGAACGCUGGCGGCGUGCCUAAUACAUGCAAGUCGAGCGAACAGAUAAGGAGCUUGCUCCUUUGACGUUAGCGGCGGACGGGUGAGUAACACGUGGGUAACCUACCUAUAAGACUGGGAUAACUUCGGGAAACCGGAGCUAAUACCGGAUAACAUUUGGAACCGCAUGGUUCUAAAGUGAAAGAUGGUUUUGCUAUCACUUAUAGAUGGACCCGCGCCGUAUUAGCUAGUUGGUAAGGUAACGGCUUACCAAGGCAACGAUACGUAGCCGACCUGAGAGGGUGAUCGGCCACACUGGAACUGAGACACGGUCCAGACUCCUACGGGAGGCAGCAGUAGGGAAUCUUCCGCAAUGGGCGAAAGCCUGACGGAGCAACGCCGCGUGAGUGAUGAAGGGUUUCGGCUCGUAAAACUCUGUUAUUAGAGAAGAACAAACGUGUAAGUAACUGUGCACGUCUUGACGGUACCUAAUCAGAAAGCCACGGCUAACUACGUG